AAGCGCUUGCAACCAGACUUGCACGCGGUUGAUCAUCCGGUGUUCUCACCGGUGCACUCGACCGUGUUCAGGCCAGCAUCGGUUGUCGCGGCGGGAGAAAGGCGGCGGGAAUGUGGCUCUCUUCGGGGAGUGUUAUAGCCCGUCGUGUCAUACCGCCAGCGGCGACCGAGGACCGCGCUUUUGCAAGGAUGCUGGCCUAAUGGUUGUAAGCGA
Molecule: ribosomal RNA, 213 nt
Filed under: Helotiales sp.
Lineage: Eukaryota; Fungi; Ascomycota; Leotiomycetes; Helotiales
Description: partial large subunit ribosomal RNA
Source: RNAcentral